UACGUAGGUGGCAAGCGUUGUCCGGAUUUACUGGGCGUAAAGCGCGCGCAGGCGGACUGAUCAGUCUGGGGUGAAAUCUCCCGGCUCAACUGGGAGCGGUCCCUGGAUACUGUCAGUCUUGAGAGACCUAGAGGAGAGCGGAAUUCCCGGUGUAGUGGUGGAAUGCGUAGAUAUCGGGAAGAACACCAGUGGCGAAGGCGGCUUACUGGUCCGGUUCUGACGCUGAGGCGCGAAAGCGUGGGGAGCAAACAGG
Molecule: ribosomal RNA, 253 nt
Filed under: uncultured bacterium
Lineage: Bacteria
Description: partial 16S ribosomal RNA
Rfam family: Bacterial small subunit ribosomal RNA
Source: RNAcentral